RNAcentral lists this ribosomal RNA (1371 nucleotides) under uncultured bacterium. Its description in RNAcentral is "bacterial SSU rRNA". It matches the Rfam family "Bacterial small subunit ribosomal RNA", at positions 28 to 1381 of the family's 1533-position model. The record is from RNAcentral.
GAUGAACGCUGGCGGCGUGCCUAAUACAUGCAAGUCGAGCGAACGGACGAGAAGCUUGCUUCUCUGAUGUUAGCGGCGGACGGGUGAGUAACACGUGGAUAACCUACCUAUAAGACUGGGAUAACUUCGGGAAACCGGAGCUAAUACCGGAUAAUAUUUUGAACCGCAUGGUUCAAAAGUGAAAGACGGUCUUGCUGCCACUUAUAGAUGGAUCCGCGCUGCAUUAGCUAGUUGGUAAGGUAACGGCUUACCAAGGCAACGAUGCAUAGCCGACCUGAGAGGGUGAUCGGCCACACUGGAACUGAGACACGGUCCAGACUCCUACGGGAGGCAGCAGUAGGGAAUCUUCCGCAAUGGGCGAAAGCCUGACGGAGCAACGCCGCGUGAGUGAUGAAGGUCUUCGGAUCGUAAAACUCUGUUAUUAGGGAAGAACAUAUGUGUAAGUAACUGUGCACAUCUUGACGGUACCUAAUCAGAAAGCCACGGCUAACUACGUGCCAGCAGCCGCGGUAAUACGUAGGUGGCAAGCGUUAUCCGGAAUUUAUUGGGCGUAAGCGCGCGUAGGCGGUUUUUUAGUCUGAUGUGAAAGCCCACGGCUCAACCGUGGAGGGUCAUUGGAAACUGGAAAACUUGAGUGCAGAAGAGGAAAGUGGAAUUCCAUGUGUAGCGGUGAAAUGCGCAGAGAUAUGGAGGAACACCAGUGGCGAAGGCGACUUUCUGGUCUGUAACUGACGCUGAUGUGCGGAAGCGUGGGGAUCAAACAGGAUUAGAUACCCUGGUAGUCCACGCCGUAAACGAUGAGUGCUAAGUGUUAGGGGGUUUCCGCCCCUUAGUGCUGCAGCUAACGCAUUAAGCACUCCGCCUGGGGAGUACGACCGCAAGGUUGAAACUCAAAGGAAUUGACGGGGACCCGCACAAGCGGUGGAGCAUGUGGUUUAAUUCGAAGCAACGCGAAGAACCUUACCAAAUCUUGACAUCCUUUGACAACUCUAGAGAUAGAGCCUUCCCCUUCGGGGGACAAAGUGACAGGUGGUGCAUGGUUGUCGUCAGCUCGUGUCGUGAGAUGUUGGGUUAAGUCCCGCAACGAGCGCAACCCUUAAGCUUAGUUGCCAUCAUUAAGUUGGGCACUCUAAGUUGACUGCCGGUGACAAACCGGAGGAAGGUGGGGAUGACGUCAAAUCAUCAUGCCCCUUAUGAUUUGGGCUACACACGUGCUACAAUGGACAAUACAAAGGGCAGCGAAACCGCGAGGUCAAGCAAAUCCCAUAAAGUUGUUCUCAGUUCGGAUUGUAGUCUGCAACUCGACUACAUGAAGCUGGAAUCGCUAGUAAUCGUAGAUCAGCAUGCUACGGUGAAUACGUUCCCGGGUCU